This 899-nucleotide ribosomal RNA is filed under the name uncultured bacterium. RNAcentral's name for it is "bacterial SSU rRNA". It matches the Rfam family "Bacterial small subunit ribosomal RNA", at positions 8 to 916 of the family's 1533-position model. The record is from RNAcentral.
AGAGUUUGAUCCUGGCUCAGGAUGAACGCUGGCGGCGUGCCUAAUACAUGCAAGUCGAACGAGGUGCUUUUGUAGCAAUACGAGAGUAUCCUAGUGGCGAACGGGUGAGUAACGCGUUGGUGACCUACCCCAAAGUGUGGAAUAACAGUCCGAAAGGAUUGCUAAUACCGCAUGUGGUUAUUGGAUCUAGAAACCGAUAACUAAAGGAGCAAUUCGCUUUGGGAGGGACCUGCGUCCCAUCAGCUAGUUGGUGAGGUAAUGGCUCACCAAGGCUACGACGGGUAGGGGACCUGAGAGGGUGACCCCCCACAAUGGAACUGAAACACGGUCCAUACACCUACGGGUGGCAGCAGUAGGGAAUAUUGCACAAUGGGCGAAAGCCUGAUGCAGCAACGCCGCGUGUGCGAUGAAGGCCUUCGGGUCGUAAAGCACUUUUCUGGGAGAUGAGAAAGGACAGUAUCUCAGGAAUAAGUCUCGGCUAACUACGUGCCAGCAGCCGCGGUAAAACGUAGGAGGCGAGCGUUAUCCGGAUUCACUGGGCGUAAAGCGCGUGCAGGUGGCUUGGUAAGUUAGGCGUGAAAUCUCCCGGCUCAACUGGGAGAGGUCGUCUAAUACUACCGGGCUAGAGAGCAGAAGAGGAAGAUGGAAUUCCCGGUGUAGUGGUGAAAUGCGUAGAUAUCGGGAGGAACACCAGUGGCGAAGGCGAUCUUCUGGUCUGUUUCUGACACUCAGACGCGACAGCUAGGGUAGUAAACGGGAUUAGAGACCCCGGUAAUCCUAGCCGUAAACGAUGUGAACUUGGCGUUGGUGGGUUAAACUCCAUCAGUGCCGCAGCAAACGCGAUAAGUUCACCGCCUGGGGACUACGGCCGCAAGGUUAAAACUUAAAUGAAUUGACGG